UACGUAGGGCGCAAGCGUUGUCCGGAAUUAUUGGGCGUAAAGAGCUCGUAGGCGGCCUGUCGCGUCUGCUGUGAAAUCCCGGGGCUUAACCCCGGGCGUGCAGUGGAUACGGGCUGGCUGGAGGCAGGCAGGGGAGAAUGGAAUUCCCGGUGUAGCGGUGAAAUGCGCAGAUAUCGGGAGGAACACCGGUGGCGAAGGCGGCUCUCUGGGACGGUACUGACGCUGAGACGCGAAAGCGUGGGGAGCGAACAGG
RNAcentral lists this ribosomal RNA (253 nucleotides) under uncultured bacterium. RNAcentral's name for it is "partial 16S ribosomal RNA". It matches the Rfam family "Bacterial small subunit ribosomal RNA", at positions 524 to 776 of the family's 1533-position model. The record is from RNAcentral.